AGCAGUCGCCGCGGUAAUACGUAGGUAGCAAGCGUUGUCCGGAAUUAUUGGGCGUAAAGGGCACGCAGGCGGUUUCUUAAGUCUGAUGUGAAAGCCCCCGGCUCAACCGGGGAGGGUCAUUGGAAACUGGGAAACUGGAGUGCAGAAGAGGAGAGUGGAAUUCCACGUGUAGCGGUGAAAUGCGUAGAGAUGUGGAGGAACACCAGUGGCGAAGGCGACUCUCUGGUCUGUAACUGACGCUGAGGAGCGAAAGCGUGGGGAGCGAACAGGAUUAGAGACCCCGGUAGUCCCUGUCUCUUAUAC
RNAcentral lists this ribosomal RNA (303 nucleotides) under uncultured bacterium. RNAcentral's name for it is "partial 16S ribosomal RNA". It matches the Rfam family "Bacterial small subunit ribosomal RNA", at positions 507 to 807 of the family's 1533-position model. The record is from RNAcentral.